Long non-coding RNA from Actinia tenebrosa (Australian red waratah sea anemone), 304 nucleotides. Lineage: Eukaryota; Metazoa; Cnidaria; Anthozoa; Actiniaria; Actiniidae. The record is from RefSeq and is a predicted model, not a curated record.
AGGAAUUUUUCAAAACCAAGGGUCAGAAUAAAACUGUGUGCUGUGAUACAUGUUUUUUAUCUGCAGACACCAAGGACUCGAGAACCUGCUAUAGACAUGAUCAUAGAGAUGGCAAAAUACCAGGAUGUUAAGACUCUUGGAAUCAUCCCAGAGCUUGUGUCUCAUCCAUUCAAGGCCAAACAACCUCAAUGGCGUCUCUGCAAGAGUCGGUUAGAAAUCUUCGAAAAGCUGCUGCUGRUUUUUGAACUGGAUACAAAUAAAUCAGGAAGCCUUCAUUCUUCAGCUCUAAUGCAGGUAAACCAUC